GGGCAGGCGGUCCUCUCCUGAACACGUGUUAUCAAAUUCCUGCACCACCUCCAGUCCAACAAUCACCACCACCGUACAACCCCGAUCCUACGGUUGGCAGACCUGUAACACGCAGUCAAACCCGGCUGGGAGACCAGGGAGGUGCCGACGUCAAAUCGCGCUCACCCCUCAACCCAUUCGGACCUGACCCCACAGCUCAGUCCACCCCGGACUCUGCGUGGUCAAUCCACGACCCAUCCUCCUGGAGGGGCACAGCCGGCAGAAUUGUGGAUUUUCUUAGUCCCGACACCACCAUGGACAGUAAACCGGGUGGGCAUCGUGGUGUCGUGUUCCGACCCUGGACAGCGACUGAUAUUCAACAGGCAGCCUCUCACCUGCCCGACAUCAAAAACGGUGCAGCCUUUGGAAAAGAGUUCCUGGCCUUCUGUAAAGAAUUCAUGCCCACCGGACCCGAGAUCCAUCGUCUUCUGGUCAAACAUGUGGGCCUGAGUGAUUUCAGUAAAAUCAGAGCGGUGGUCACUGGUCAGGGCUGUGACUCCCGCCACGAGGCACCCGACUGGGAUCAUGCAGAUAACGUCGCCUACAGAGCAUUUGUCACCGCAGUGUGUGCAGCUGUUGUUACAGCUUUUCCGGCAACAGUAAACAUGGCCCCCAUCAACAGCACAAAACAAGGUAGGACCGAAGAUGUAACAUUUUACCAUCAGCGUCUUGUGGCUGCUUUUCAGAUUCACAGCGGCCUCGAGGAGCCCACAGACAUAACCAACAUGACCGUGUGGGAAACUCAUCUCAAGAACGCCUUCAUGAACGGGCUUCUGCCAGACGUCAAAACUGCCACUGAACACUCUGUCGUGGGUCUGGAAGAUGCAAGGCUCACAGAAGUGGUAAAACAUGCACGACACAAUUACAAAAUGCAUGUGGAAAAUCAAAUGCGUCAAGACAAACGCAGCAAGCAGACUGGGGAGAAAGCCCAGCUUGCGAUGCUCCAAGCUUUAAAACAGUUGACACUGGGUGCAGAAGGAGGACGAGACCCCCACCCAUCCGGAAAUUUUUAUGGGAGGGACCAACAGAGAGGACGAGCGUAUGGAAUAAAUCAUGGGAGAAGACGGCGUUUUCAAGGAGGGGCCCCACGAGAAGUGCAACCCGAUGAAUGCUUCCUCUGGCGAAACAGGACAUUGGUACCAAGACUGCCCCUCCCGUUCAAACCUGUGGUGGAUCCCGAUCGAUGAUGCUCGGAGGCUGAGCCAGGCUGGUGAAGCACGGGUUUCUCCUCAUGCAGACCGUAUGAACUCUGAACACCUGCAUUGCACAACAUGUGUCUCAGAGGGUCCAGACGACUCUUUUGAAGAGACAUUUUUUGAGGCCCUCAAUGAUGCAAUUGCCUGUUCUACUUUGUACUGGUCAACUUGUAAAUCGGCUGUGUCUAUUUCUCUGUCUCCCACGCAGAAAGAGCUGUUUCAAGUUCCCGGCUCCUAUCCCCAUGUCUCACUGUCUGAAGGACGCCUUGACCAAUGGAGGGAUUUGGAACCAUUUGAAGCUCUCACUGCCUGGGAGGAGACAAUCGAUCCGCUCGUUCUGCGCUCCGCCUCUAAAGGGUUUCACAGAACUCGCUGUGUGCUCCUCACACCAGCUUGUCGAUCUGUCUAUGUGUUUUAUGAGCACAACGACAAAGUUGAAACAUUUUUAACAACUCCCACGUCGAUUUCUCCCGCUCUUGCUUCUGUUCCACAGACACUCUGGGCGGCACACAAAUAUUACGUAGGCUUGAUCAACAACUGCCAACCGGUCGUCAUCACUCCACGUUCUGACUAUGUUGACGACUGUUUGAUUGCAGCUCCAAAUGAGGCACAGUGUCAGACAGACACGCUUAAACUACCUCAAACAUUUAGC
This is a long non-coding RNA of Gasterosteus aculeatus aculeatus (three-spined stickleback), 1887 nucleotides long. NCBI's taxonomy places the organism in Eukaryota, Metazoa, Chordata, Actinopteri, Perciformes, Gasterosteidae. The record is from Ensembl.